RNAcentral lists this ribosomal RNA (253 nucleotides) under uncultured bacterium. Its description in RNAcentral is "partial 16S ribosomal RNA". It matches the Rfam family "Bacterial small subunit ribosomal RNA", at positions 524 to 776 of the family's 1533-position model. The record is from RNAcentral.
UACGAAGGGGGCUAGCGUUGCUCGGAAUCACUGGGCGUAAAGCGCACGUAGGCGGAUCUUUAAGUCAGGGGUGAAAUCCUGGAGCUCAACUCCAGAACUGCCUUUGAUACUGGAGAUCUCGAGUCCGGAAGAGGUGAGUGGAACUCCGAGUGUAGAGGUGAAAUUCGUAGAUAUUCGGAAGAACACCAGUGGCGAAGGCGGCUCACUGGUCCGGUACUGACGCUGAGGUGCGAAAGCGUGGGGAGCGAACAGG